GUGCUAUGCAAGCACUCUCCCACUGACCUAUGCUCUCAGCCCAGGUUGUUAAAAUCAUUAAUUAGUUAAUGAAUUAGUUACUUAACUAAUUCAAAUUUAAGAUAAAGUCUUGCUUGUAGUCUAGCUUACCCUUGAAGUCCCAAUCCUUCUGCCCUGCUUCCCAGGGGCUAGGAUUUCAGGUAUGGUCCACCGUGCCUAGCUCAUUAUGGAUUGACUUUUAAAACGUUUAACCUCCCCUGGGGUCUGGCAAUAAACUACAUUUGCCUGUAGUAUGUUCUCUUCCUAUAAGCCCUAUGAUCUUGCCAUCUCUACCUCCCAGCGCUGAAUUGACAGAUGCUGUCAUACUGCCUACAAAAAGAAAAAAGAAAAAAAAAAACGGUGGCUGGGAUCCUAACUAAGCCCUCAUAUGUACACAGAAAACAUUUCACACUGACAUAUCUCCCAAACUCGAAUUCCUUUCAGGUGGUAUUUAAUUAAAUGUAAUAUUUUGUUAUAGUCUUUGUACCCAAGCAAUACUGAUUUGUAUUUUUGAUUUUCGUUUACUUGUUUGCUUUCUCUUUGGUUUUGAUUAUCAGGGUAAUCUGGACCGAUAGUUGGGAAGUGGCUUUUGCUUUUCAGUUGUUUUAGGAAAGCUGAGGAUUUUGUUGUUUCUUUGCUUGCUUGUUUCUGUUUUAAAGACACAGUUUUACCCUGUAGGCUAUGUGGCAUGCACCGUGUUGAGUGAGCCCCAAACUUGCCGUGCUCCUCCCGACUUAGCCUCCUCUUUCUCCUACAAACAAGAGCGGGAGGCCUGCCUGAGCUGGUGUUGACUGGAGACGAAGCCUGAUGAUGUGUCACACAUCAUGGAGGCCUUUAUUGUCCUGGAUUUGGUUUCUACAGUAGAUCAAUGUGCUUCUCCUUAUCUUUGUCUUAUAACCCAACGAUGACAACUUCUGUUUCCCAAGAAAUUACUUCCUUUUGUCUUCAUUUAGCAAACUUCAAGAUGUUCAACUUGGCUGCUCCAGCUACCAUGCCUGCUGCCUGCCACCUCCACUCUGUCAUGGAACUGUAAGCCCAAAUAAACUCUUUUUUUAUCUAAGUUGCCUUGGCCACGUUUUAUCACAAUAUCAGAAAAGUGACUGAUACACAGGGUUUCUUACUGAACCUGGAGCUGGCCAGCAAGCCUGUGGGAGCCAUCUGUUUCUAUCCAUGAGUGCUGCACUGUGCCGUCAUGCUCAGCUUCUAAAGAUGUGCUUGGGAUCUGAACUCAAGUCUUCAUGCAAGCACUUUGCCCAUUGAACUAUCUCCCCCAUCUCUCCCAUGGCUCUUGGUAAUGUUGUUCUAAAAUGUCACUCAAAUAAAUUUGUAUCCUUUUGUAA
Molecule: long non-coding RNA, 1358 nt
Filed under: Mus musculus (house mouse)
Lineage: Eukaryota; Metazoa; Chordata; Mammalia; Rodentia; Muridae
Description: Jpx transcript, Xist activator
Source: RNAcentral